UUUGGUUUAGAGUUUAAUUUAGGAUUAGGAUUUGAUUAGGAUUUGAUUUAAGAUUAGGAUCUAGUUUAGGAUUUAGAGUUUGAUUAAGGUUUGAUUUAGGAUUAAGAUUUGGUUAGGAUUUGAUUAGGAUUUGAUUAGGAUUUGAUUUAGGAUUAGGAUUUGAUUAGGAUUUGAUUUAGGAUUAGAAUUUGGUUUAGGAUUUAAGAUUUGAUUAAGAUUUGGUCAAGAUUUGAUUUAGGGUUUAGGUAUUUUAUUUGCGUUUGUUUAAGAAUAAAGAUUUACUUGAUUUUUGGCCUAAAGUUUGAAUGAAGUCCAAUAGGAUUUCAACUAGAAUUAAAUUAAGGUUGAAUUGAGAUGUAUUUGAGAUAUGUUUGUAAUCAUUCU
This 384-nucleotide long non-coding RNA is filed under the name Physcomitrium patens. RNAcentral's name for it is "long non-coding RNA (PPAT_LNC008063)". The record is from RNAcentral. Lineage: Eukaryota; Viridiplantae; Streptophyta; Bryopsida; Funariales; Funariaceae.